Molecule: ribosomal RNA, 775 nt
Filed under: uncultured Neocallimastigales
Lineage: Eukaryota; Fungi; Neocallimastigomycota; Neocallimastigomycetes; Neocallimastigales
Description: partial large subunit ribosomal RNA
Rfam family: Eukaryotic large subunit ribosomal RNA
Source: RNAcentral
CAGACGAUGCGUCAUGCAUAUCAAUAAGCGGAGGAAAAGAAACUAACAAGGAUUCCCCUAGUAACGGCGAGUGAAGCGGGAAGAGCUCAAAUUUGAAAUCUUAAAGGGUUUCCCUUUACGAAUUGUAGUUUAAAGAAGUGUUUUCUGUUGAGGUUUUGGUAAAAGUUCUUUGGAAUAGGACAUCAUAGAGGGUGAGAAUCCCGUAUUUGACCUUUACUUUCCAACUUUGUGAUACACUUUCAAAGAGUCGGAUUGUUUGGGAAUGCAGUCCAAAAUGGGUGGUAAAUUUCAUCUAAAGCUAAAUAUUGGCGAGAGACCGAUAGCGAACAAGUACCGUGAGGGAAAGAUGAAAAGAACUUUGAAAAGAGAGUUAAACAGUACGUGAAAUUGUCAAAAGGGAAGCGUUUGACACCAGUGUUGUUUUUCUGAAAAUCAAUUAAAGAACUGUUUAUGCUAAGCUGUUUAGACUUUAUCAGCUAUCUGUUUAGUUUUGAGCUUUUCUUUAAUGCACUUUUCAGUUAACAAGUCAACAUCAAUUUCUUUUGCUGUAAAAAAGCUUGAGGAAGGUGGCUUGAGAUUCGUCUUAAGUGUUUAUAGCCUCCUGCCUAUGCAGUCGGAGAGAUUGAGGUCUGCAGGCGUAGAUCCUUCGGGGCUAAAUGCAUUUGCGCUAAGUUAUAGCAUUUUAUAGACAACUUGUUGACUAUGAUUUGUCUUGUAGCUUACUCGCUUAUGUUAUUUUACCUACGCUUAGGAUGUUGACACACGCGCGUGCUCG